UACGUAGGGUGCAAGCGUUAAUCGGAAUUACUGGGCGUAAAGCGUGCGCAGGCGGUUAUGCAAGACAGAUGUGAAAUCCCCGGGCUCAACCUGGGAACUGCAUUUGUGACUGCAUGGCUAGAGUGCGGCAGAGGGGGAUGGAAUUCCGCGUGUAGCAGUGAAAUGCGUAGAUAUGCGGAGGAACACCGAUGGCGAAGGCAAGCCCCUGGGCCUGCACUGACGCUCAUGCACGAAAGCGUGGGGAGCAAACAGG
Molecule: ribosomal RNA, 253 nt
Filed under: uncultured bacterium
Lineage: Bacteria
Description: partial 16S ribosomal RNA
Rfam family: Bacterial small subunit ribosomal RNA
Source: RNAcentral